RNAcentral lists this ribosomal RNA (490 nucleotides) under uncultured bacterium. RNAcentral describes it as "partial 16S ribosomal RNA". It matches the Rfam family "Bacterial small subunit ribosomal RNA", at positions 30 to 507 of the family's 1533-position model. The record is from RNAcentral.
AUUGAACGCUGGCGGCAGGCCUAACACAUGCAAGUCGAACGGUAACAGGAAGAAGCUUGCUUCUUUGCUGACGAGUGGCGGACGGGUGAGUAAUGUCUGGGAAACUGCCUGAUGGAGGGGGAUAACUACUGGAAACGGUAGCUAAUACCGCAUAACGUCGCAAGACCAAAGAGGGGGACCUUCGGGCCUCUUGCCAUCGGAUGUGCCCAGAUGGGAUUAGCUAGUAGGUGGGGUAACGGCUCCCCUAGGCGACGAUCCCUAGCUGGUCUGAGAGGAUGACCAGCCACACUGGAACUGAGACACGGUCCAGACUCCUACGGGAGGCAGCAGUGGGGAAUAUUGCACAAUGGGCGCAAGCCUGAUGCAGCCAUGCCGCGUGUAUGAAGAAGGCCUUCGGGUUGUAAAGUACUUUCAGCGGGGAGGAAGGGAGUAAAGUUAAUACCUUUGCUCAUUGACGUUACCCGCAGAAGAAGCACCGGCUAACUCCGUG